This 506-nucleotide ribosomal RNA is filed under the name uncultured bacterium. Its description in RNAcentral is "partial 16S ribosomal RNA". It matches the Rfam family "Bacterial small subunit ribosomal RNA", at positions 29 to 523 of the family's 1533-position model. The record is from RNAcentral.
AUUGAACGCUGGCGGCAGGCCUAACACAUGCAAGUCGAACGGCAGCACAGAAGAGCCUGCUCUUUGGGUGGCGAGUGGCGGACGGGUGAGUAAUGUCUGGGAAACUGCCCGAUGGAGGGGGAUAACUACUGGAAACGGUAGCUAAUACCGCAUAACGUCGCAAGACCAAAGUGGGGGACCUUCGGGCCUAACACCAUCGGAUGUGCCCAGAUGGGAUUAGCUAGUAGGUGGGGUAAUGGUUCACCUAGGCGAGUAUCCCUAGGUGGUCUGAGGGGAUGACCAGCCACACUGAAAGGGAGACCCGGUCGAGACUCCUACGGGGGGCAGCAGUGGGGAAUAUUGCACAAUGGGCGAAAGCUUGAUGCAGCCAUGCCGCGUGUAUGAAGAAGGCCUUCGGGUUGAAAAGUCCUUUCAGCGGGGAGGAAGGCGGUGAGGUUAAUAACCUCGCCGAUUGACGUUACCCGCAGAAGAAGCACCGGCUAACUCCGUGCCAGCCGCCGCGGUAA